AUUGAACGCUGGCGGCAUGCCUUACACAUGCAAGUCGAACGGCAGCACGGGUGCUUGCACCUGGUGACGAGUGGCGAACGGGUGAGUAAUAUAUCGGGACGUACCUUAUUGUGGGGGAUAACGCAGCGAAAGCUGUGCUAAUACCGCAUAAUCCCUAAGGGGGAAAGCGGGGGACCGUAAGGCCUCGCGCAAUUAGAGCGGCCGAUACCUGAUUAGCUAGUUGGUGAGGUAAAGGCUCACCAAGGCAACGAUCAGUAGCUGGUCUGAGAGGACGAUCAGCCACACUGGGACUGAGACACGGCCCAGACUCCUACGGGAGGCAGCAGUGGGGAAUUUUGGACAAUGGGGGCAACCCUGAUCCAGCAAUGCCGCGUGAGUGAAGAAGGCCUUCGGGUUGUAAAGCUCUUUUGUCAGGGAAGAAACAGCAGCUCUAACACAGUUUGCGAAUGACGGUACCUGAAGAAUAAGCACCGGCUAACUACGUGCCAGCCGCCGCAGUAA
RNAcentral lists this ribosomal RNA (501 nucleotides) under uncultured bacterium. Its description in RNAcentral is "partial 16S ribosomal RNA". It matches the Rfam family "Bacterial small subunit ribosomal RNA", at positions 30 to 523 of the family's 1533-position model. The record is from RNAcentral.